GGUCACGCGGGCUGCCUUCUCAGGCCCAGGCUGGCAACGCCCUCCAGCCGGCUUGCCGAGGACUCCAGGGGACAGCCUCAGGGGUCUCCAGGCUGCCCUCUGUCGUCCUCCGCUCUGUGGCCGGGGCGUCCUCCUUUGUUGGUUUUGAGUGUCUGUGGGGAGGGGUGGUAGCUGGUGACCCUCAGACCCGCGCUCCGCCCGCCUGUCCAUGCAGCACUCCCCCUCCGCUCCGUCUCCUUCUUGGCCCUGCCCUGAGCUCCACCUGCCAGUCCUCCCGCAGGUUUAUACGGCCUCAUGAGCGAGCCCUGAAAGCCGAGUUCCGUGCCAUCGCUUUCCUGGGGGCGCGAUCCAGGGCCAGCGGGGAGGCCGGAGGGGCCUGGGGAGACCCCCCAACACCGUGGAUCAGCCUCCGGGUCCCUCUCUGCCACACAUGGGACAGGCCGUGUGAUCCGUGCCUCUGCUGCUGCUUCUGCUGUCCCUCUGCCUGGGGAAGCUGGUCACACCCGGGCCACAGCCCUCGCCCCUGGCCUCCCUCC
Molecule: long non-coding RNA, 536 nt
Filed under: Equus caballus (horse)
Lineage: Eukaryota; Metazoa; Chordata; Mammalia; Perissodactyla; Equidae
Description: lncRNA (ENSECAG00000053830.1)
Source: RNAcentral